Molecule: small RNA, 168 nt
Filed under: Kitasatospora setae
Lineage: Bacteria; Bacillati; Actinomycetota; Actinomycetes; Kitasatosporales; Streptomycetaceae
Also listed under: 1 other name
Description: c-di-AMP sequence
Rfam family: c-di-AMP riboswitch aptamer (ydaO/yuaA leader)
About the family: This family represents a conserved RNA structure found upstream of the ydaO and yuaA genes in Bacillus subtilis and related genes in other bacteria. The ydaO/yuaA element is thought to act as a genetic "off" switch for the ydaO and yuaA genes in its native state.
Source: RNAcentral
CCGGGUCGACCACCACAACCCUUGGGCAGGGGCGGGGGAACCACGUUUGUUGCCGUCCCCCACGGCUAGGGGUGAAGCCGUCAGCGCCGGGCGACCGGAGUGCGGCGGCCGGGCCUCCCUCCCGGUCCGAACCCGACAGCUCACCUCGCAGGCGUGCGGAGAGGAUCU